This 622-nucleotide ribosomal RNA is filed under the name Salmonella enterica. RNAcentral describes it as "partial 23S ribosomal RNA". It matches the Rfam family "Bacterial large subunit ribosomal RNA", at positions 1918 to 2539 of the family's 2925-position model. The record is from RNAcentral. RNAcentral also lists the same sequence under 1 other name. Lineage: Bacteria; Pseudomonadati; Pseudomonadota; Gammaproteobacteria; Enterobacterales; Enterobacteriaceae.
CCCCGGUAAACGGCGGCCGUAACUAUAACGGUCCUAAGGUAGCGAAAUUCCUUGUCGGGUAAGUUCCGACCUGCACGAAUGGCGUAAUGAUGGCCAGGCUGUCUCCACCCGAGACUCAGUGAAAUUGAACUCGCUGUGAAGAUGCAGUGUACCCGCGGCAAGACGGAAAGACCCCGUGAACCUUUACUAUAGCUUGACACUGAACAUUGAGCCUUGAUGUGUAGGAUAGGUGGGAGGCUUUGAAGUGUGGACGCCAGUCUGCAUGGAGCCGACCUUGAAAUACCACCCUUUAAUGUUUGAUGUUCUAACGUGGACCCGUAAUCCGGGUUGCGGACAGUGUCUGGUGGGUAGUUUGACUGGGGCGGUCUCCUCCUAAAGAGUAACGGAGGAGCACGAAGGUUGGCUAAUCCUGGUCGGACAUCAGGAGGUUAGUGCAAUGGCAUAAGCCAGCUUGACUGCGAGCGUGACGGCGCGAGCAGGUGCGAAAGCAGGUCAUAGUGAUCCGGUGGUUCUGAAUGGAAGGGCCAUCGCUCAACGGAUAAAAGGUACUCCGGGGAUAACAGGCUGAUACCGCCCAAGAGUUCAUAUCGACGGCGGUGUUUGGCACCUCGAUGUCGGCUCA